GUGAGGAAUAUUGGACAAUGGGCGCAAGCCUGAUCCAGCCAUGCCGCGUGCAGGAAGACGCAUCUAUGGUGUGUAAACUGCUUUUGUACGGGAAGAAACACUCCCUCGUGAGGGAACUUGACGGUACCGUAAGAAUAAGGAUCGGCUAACUCCGUGCCAGCAGCCGCGGUAAUACGGAGGAUCCAAGCGUUAUCCGGAAUCAUUGGGUUUAAAGGGUCCGUAGGCAGUUUAAUAAGUCAGUGGUGAAAGCCCAUCGCUCAACGAUGGAACGGCCAUUGAUACUGUUAGACUUGAAUUACAAGGAAGUAACUAGAAUAUGUAGUGUAGCGGUGAAAUGCUUAGAUAUUACAUGGAAUACCAAUUGCGAAGGCAGGUUACUACUUGUGGAUUGACGCUGAUGGACGAAAGCGUGGGGAGCGAACAGGAUUAGAAACCCUGGUAGUCC
RNAcentral lists this ribosomal RNA (445 nucleotides) under uncultured bacterium. RNAcentral describes it as "partial 16S ribosomal RNA". It matches the Rfam family "Bacterial small subunit ribosomal RNA", at positions 354 to 796 of the family's 1533-position model. The record is from RNAcentral.